Molecule: ribosomal RNA, 465 nt
Filed under: uncultured bacterium
Lineage: Bacteria
Description: partial 16S ribosomal RNA
Rfam family: Bacterial small subunit ribosomal RNA
Source: RNAcentral
GACGAACGCUAGCGGCGUGCUUAACACAUGCCAGUCGAACGGAAAGGCCCCUUUGGGGGUACUCGAGUGGCGAACGGGUGAGUAACACGUGAGUAACCUGCCCUUGACUUCGGGAUAACUUCAGGAAACUGGGGCUAAUACCGGAUAGGAAUCCUUGCUGCAUGGUGGGGGUUGGAAAGCUUCGGCGGUUUUGGAUGGACUCGCGGCUUAUCAGCUUGUUGGUGGGGUAGUGGCUUACCAAGGCUUUGACGGGUAGCCGGCCUGAGAGGGCGACCGGCCACAUUGGGACUGAGAUACGGCCCAGACUCCUACGGGAGGCAGCAGUGGGGAAUAUUGCACAAUGGGCGGAAGCCUGAUGCAGCAACGCCGCGUGCGGGAUGACGGCCUUCGGGUUGUAAACCGCUUUCAGCAGGGGCGAAGCUUGUGGUGACGGUACCUGCAGAAGAAGCACCGGCUAACUACGUG